This 2923-nucleotide ribosomal RNA is filed under the name Staphylococcus aureus. RNAcentral describes it as "23S ribosomal RNA". It matches the Rfam family "Bacterial large subunit ribosomal RNA". Lineage: Bacteria; Bacillati; Bacillota; Bacilli; Caryophanales; Staphylococcaceae. The record is from RNAcentral.
GAUUAAGUUAUUAAGGGCGCACGGUGGAUGCCUUGGCACUAGAAGCCGAUGAAGGACGUUACUAACGACGAUAUGCUUUGGGGAGCUGUAAGUAAGCUUUGAUCCAGAGAUUUCCGAAUGGGGAAACCCAGCAUGAGUUAUGUCAUGUUAUCGAUAUGUGAAUACAUAGCAUAUCAGAAGGCACACCCGGAGAACUGAAACAUCUUAGUACCCGGAGGAAGAGAAAGAAAAUUCGAUUCCCUUAGUAGCGGCGAGCGAAACGGGAAGAGCCCAAACCAACAAGCUUGCUUGUUGGGGUUGUAGGACACUCUAUACGGAGUUACAAAGGACGACAUUAGACGAAUCAUCUGGAAAGAUGAAUCAAAGAAGGUAAUAAUCCUGUAGUCGAAAAUGUUGUCUCUCUUGAGUGGAUCCUGAGUACGACGGAGCACGUGAAAUUCCGUCGGAAUUUGGGAGGACCAUCUCCUAAGGCUAAAUACUCUCUAGUGACCGAUAGCGAACCAGUACCGUGAGGGAAAGGUGAAAAGCACCCCGGAAGGGGAGUGAAAUAGAACCUGAAACCGUGUGCUUACAAGUAGUCAGAGCCCGUUAAUGGGUGAUGGCGUGCCUUUUGUAGAAUGAACCGGCGAGUUACGAUUUGAUGCAAGGUUAAGCAGUAAAUGUGGAGCCGUAGCGAAAGCGAGUCUGAAUAGGGCGUUUAGUAUUUGGUCGUAGACCCGAAACCAGGUGAUCUACCCUUCGUCAGGUUGAAGUUCAGGUAACACUGAAUGGAGGACCGAACCGACUUACGUUGAAAAGUGAGCGGAUGAACUGAGGGUAGCGGAGAAAUUCCAAUCGAACCUGGAGAUAGCUGGUUCUCUCCGAAAUAGCUUUAGGGCUAGCCUCAAGUGAUGAUUAUUGGAGGUAGAGCACUGUUUGGACGAGGGGCCCCUCUCGGGUUACCGAAUUCAGACAAACUCCGAAUGCCAAUUAAUUUAACUUGGGAGUCAGAACAUGGGUGAUAAGGUCCGUGUUCGAAAGGGAAACAGCCCAGACCACCAGCUAAGGUCCCAAAAUAUAUGUUAAGUGGAAAAGGAUGUGGCGUUGCCCAGACAACUAGGAUGUUGGCUUAGAAGCAGCCAUCAUUUAAAGAGUGCGUAAUAGCUCACUAGUCGAGUGACACUGCGCCGAAAAUGUACCGGGGCUAAACAUAUUACCGAAGCUGUGGAUUGUCCUUUGGACAAUGGUAGGAGAGCGUUCUAAGGGCGUUGAAGCAUGAUCGUAAGGACAUGUGGAGCGCUUAGAAGUGAGAAUGCCGGUGUGAGUAGCGAAAGACGGGUGAGAAUCCCGUCCACCGAUUGACUAAGGUUUCCAGAGGAAGGCUCGUCCGCUCUGGGUUAGUCGGGUCCUAAGCUGAGGCCGAUAGGCGUAGGCGAUGGAUAACAGGUUGAUAUUCCUGUACCACCUAUAAUCGUUUUAAUCGAUGGGGGGACGCAGUAGGAUAGGCGAAGCGUGCGAUUGGAUUGCACGUCUAAGCAGUAAGGCUGAGUAUUAGGCAAAUCCGGUACUCAUUAAGGCUGAGCUGUGAUGGGGAGAAGACAUUGUGUCUUCGAGUCGUUGAUUUCACACUGCCGAGAAAAGCCUCUAGAUAGAAAAUAGGUGCCCGUACCGCAAACCGACACAGGUAGUCAAGAUGAGAAUUCUAAGGUGAGCGAGCGAACUCUCGUUAAGGAACUCGGCAAAAUGACCCCGUAACUUCGGGAGAAGGGGUGCUCUUUAGGGUUAACGCCCAGAAGAGCCGCAGUGAAUAGGCCCAAGCGACUGUUUAUCAAAAACACAGGUCUCUGCUAAACCGUAAGGUGAUGUAUAGGGGCUGACGCCUGCCCGGUGCUGGAAGGUUAAGAGGAGUGGUUAGCUUCUGCGAAGCUACGAAUCGAAGCCCCAGUAAACGGCGGCCGUAACUAUAACGGUCCUAAGGUAGCGAAAUUCCUUGUCGGGUAAGUUCCGACCCGCACGAAAGGCGUAACGAUUUGGGCACUGUCUCAACGAGAGACUCGGUGAAAUCAUAGUACCUGUGAAGAUGCAGGUUACCCGCGACAGGACGGAAAGACCCCGUGGAGCUUUACUGUAGCCUGAUAUUGAAAUUCGGCACAGCUUGUACAGGAUAGGUAGGAGCCUUUGAAACGUGAGCGCUAGCUUACGUGGAGGCGCUGGUGGGAUACUACCCUAGCUGUGUUGGCUUUCUAACCCGCACCACUUAUCGUGGUGGGAGACAGUGUCAGGCGGGCAGUUUGACUGGGGCGGUCGCCUCCUAAAAGGUAACGGAGGCGCUCAAAGGUUCCCUCAGAAUGGUUGGAAAUCAUUCAUAGAGUGUAAAGGCAUAAGGGAGCUUGACUGCGAGACCUACAAGUCGAGCAGGGUCGAAAGACGGACUUAGUGAUCCGGUGGUUCCGCAUGGAAGGGCCAUCGCUCAACGGAUAAAAGCUACCCCGGGGAUAACAGGCUUAUCUCCCCCAAGAGUUCACAUCGACGGGGAGGUUUGGCACCUCGAUGUCGGCUCAUCGCAUCCUGGGGCUGUAGUCGGUCCCAAGGGUUGGGCUGUUCGCCCAUUAAAGCGGUACGCGAGCUGGGUUCAGAACGUCGUGAGACAGUUCGGUCCCUAUCCGUCGUGGGCGUAGGAAAUUUGAGAGGAGCUGUCCUUAGUACGAGAGGACCGGGAUGGACAUACCUCUGGUGUACCAGUUGUCGUGCCAACGGCAUAGCUGGGUAGCUAUGUGUGGACGGGAUAAGUGCUGAAAGCAUCUAAGCAUGAAGCCCCCCUCAAGAUGAGAUUUCCCAACUUCGGUUAUAAGAUCCCUCAAAGAUGAUGAGGUUAAUAGGUUCGAGGUGGAAGCAUGGUGACAUGUGGAGCUGACGAAUACUAAUCGAUCGAAGACUUAAUCAA